This 64-nucleotide transfer RNA is filed under the name Chamberlainia hainesiana. RNAcentral describes it as "tRNA-Met". The record is from RNAcentral. Lineage: Eukaryota; Metazoa; Mollusca; Bivalvia; Unionida; Unionidae.
AGUAAGAUAAGCUAACUAAAGCUGUUGGGCUCAUAACCCAAAAAUAGACUCAUUCUUCUUACUG